CAGAGAGAGAGACAGAGAGAGACCGAGGCAGACAAACAGGUAUUCUGCCUGAUAGAGCUCUGCAUACGCUGAAGUUAGCUGGUGCUAAGCUUGCAGUUACAAGAGUAUCGGUGGCGAUGUAGUCGUGACAUCGACCCUGGAAACUGUUUAGCUGGGGAGCUUCUGUGUCGACGAGUAACAGCACUACUAAACAUCCUGCCGAAGAAUCUUCUGAUCCACCGACUGUUUCUGGAGACUCCAUCCGAGCCGAUGUUGGCGUCAGCAGAGUCAACCGUUAACGGUGCAGAAGGAGCUUCGCCAGCAGAGGGACUGUUGACUUCAGCUGCAUUUGAAGCUUCAUCAGCUGUGACUGUACCUUCGUCAGCUGGAACAGCGUCAUACAGGUCAGUCGUUACAGGGGCUUGGUUGAAGCUUCUGUAGAGGCAGGGAUGAAUGCAGCUUCAUCAUCAUCAGCCGAACCAGUGGCAGCAUCUGCAGCUUGAACAUAUGAGCCACCAGCAUCUGAGUCCCCACCAGCGGCUGAACCGGCAGUGCUCUCUGAGGCCUCAUCACCAGCUGGAACGUUGUCAUCUAUGCCAGUCAUCACGGGAGCGUCAUCUAAAGAGGCAGUGGAGACAUCUGCUGAAACCGCGGCACCAUCUGAGGCAUCACUGGAGCAAACAGCAGGGCCCAAGCAAUACACCCGCCAAGUGUGAAGAAGAUCGGAUGAGCGGUUCUCGAGAUAUGCAAAGAGUAUACGUAAAGACAGACAGAAAGAUAGACGGAGAUUAUUCGCGUUAUACUAAUGAUGCACCGAUACCGUAUCAGAUAUCAGGCCCAUACUGACUCAAAUAGCUGGAUCGGAUAUCAGUGACAACAGGGCUGAUCAAUCAAAUUAAAUUCUAUGUUUAUAUACUAUUUAUAUUCUAUACUGGAAUUUGAA
Long non-coding RNA from Sebastes umbrosus (honeycomb rockfish), 922 nucleotides. RefSeq lists it as uncharacterized. The transcript is spliced from 6 exons. NCBI's taxonomy places the organism in Eukaryota, Metazoa, Chordata, Actinopteri, Perciformes, Sebastidae. The record is from RefSeq and is a predicted model, not a curated record.